This 85-nucleotide transfer RNA is filed under the name Felis catus (domestic cat). It matches the Rfam family "tRNA". Rfam says of the family: Transfer RNA (tRNA) molecules are approximately 80 nucleotides in length. Lineage: Eukaryota; Metazoa; Chordata; Mammalia; Carnivora; Felidae. The record is from Rfam by way of RNAcentral.
GCCUGGGUGGCUCGGUUGGUUAAGCGUCUGACUUUGGCUCAGGUCAUGAUCUCAUGGUCCGUGGGUUCGAGCCCCAUGUCGGGCU